UUUGGUUUAAGUCCUUAUCAGCUGGCCAACAGCCAGUGUAUGUCAUCUAUAAAAGCACUGCAAGCUAUGAUGGGUCACGUCACGUGAUCAGAGAUUUUGUGCUGUAUAAAUGGAGUCAAAAGGAAGAGCGGAUACCUGCACGAGACACCUGGGAACAACAGAGUAUUUUUUUCCAAAAAUGACCUGACAAAAAGUAGGACAGGGUUGGCUGGAAACUAAAAAUGGGUGUCUUUCUGUCAAUAAAGUGUGUUGAAACAGAAACCCCAUGUUUCUUAUGAAAGAAAGAAGGUGUUGCUGGAAAUUGCAGUGCGAUUUUAUCCAAGGGUUUCUCUCCUUCUGAAGCUGGAGAACUGCCCCUAAUACCUAAUAUGGAUCAAAACAUAAGGGCAUUUCAUGGAUUUCAACUGUGCUUCUCAAUUGCGGCUGCACUGCCUCUAAUGUUGUGUCUGCUAUUGUGCUCUGGCGCUAUAUUGCCACUAUUUGCUGCAAUUAAUAACAUGGCUUUAAAUGAUUUUUUUUAUUCCUAAUUGUGAAUUCUAGGAUACAAAAAGUUGUUGUAUUUUUGUUGAUGAAUAAAUAAUUUUUUUGCAGACAU
This 595-nucleotide small RNA is filed under the name Vigna angularis var. angularis. Its description in RNAcentral is "Non-protein coding transcript". The record is from RNAcentral. Lineage: Eukaryota; Viridiplantae; Streptophyta; Magnoliopsida; Fabales; Fabaceae.